ACGUGAUCGUUCCAUUCGCUCG
This 22-nucleotide microRNA is filed under the name Melibe leonina. RNAcentral's name for it is "mle-miR-12099-5p". The record is from miRBase by way of RNAcentral. Lineage: Eukaryota; Metazoa; Mollusca; Gastropoda; Nudibranchia; Dendronotidae.